GUCCAGGGGCGGGAACCGAACCCACAACCUUCUGCUUACCGGGCAGGUGCCAUGUCCACUAGGCUACCCUGGA
This 73-nucleotide transfer RNA is filed under the name Cordylochernes scorpioides. RNAcentral's name for it is "tRNA-Thr". The record is from RNAcentral. Lineage: Eukaryota; Metazoa; Arthropoda; Arachnida; Pseudoscorpiones; Chernetidae.